Molecule: ribosomal RNA, 902 nt
Filed under: uncultured Bacillota bacterium
Lineage: Bacteria; Bacillati; Bacillota
Description: bacterial SSU rRNA
Rfam family: Bacterial small subunit ribosomal RNA
Source: RNAcentral
CAUGGCUCAGGACGAACGCUGGCGGCGUGCCUAACACAUGCAAGUCGAGCGGAGCCAAUUGUCAGAUCCCUUCGGGGUGACGAUGAGGAAGCUUAGCGGCGGACGGGUGAGUAACGCGUGAGUAACCUGCCUGUAAGAGGGGGAUAACACAGAGAAAUCUGUGCUAAUACCGCAUAUUGAAUGUGAACCGCAUGGUUUACAUUUGAAAGAUUUAUCGCUUACAGAUGGACUCGCGUCUGAUUAGCUUGUUGGCGGGGUAACGGCCCACCAAGGCGACGAUCAGUAGCCGAACUGAGAGGUUGAUCGGCCACAUUGGGACUGAGACACGGCCCAGACUCCUACGGGAGGCAGCAGUGGGGGAUAUUGCGCAAUGGGGGAAACCCUGACGCAGCAACGCCGCGUGAUGGAAGAAGGCCUUCGGGUUGUAAACAUCUGUUGCAAGGGAAGAAAAAAAUGACGGUACCUUGUGAGGAAGCCACGGCUAACUACGUGCCAGCAGCCGCGGUAAUACGUAGGUGGCGAGCGUUGUCCGGAUUUACUGGGUGUAAAGGGCGCGUAGGCGGGGCAGCAAGUCAGUCGUGAAAUGCCGGGGCUUAACUCCGGAGCUGCGAUUGAAACUGUUGUUCUUGAGUGUCGGAGAGGAAAGCGGAAUUCCUAGUGUAGCGGUGAAAUGCGUAGAUAUUAGGAGGAACACCAGUGGCGAAGGCGGCUUUCUGGACGAUAACUGACGCUGAGGCGCGAAAGUGUGGGGAGCAAACAGGAUUAGAUACCCUGGUAGUCCACACCGUAAACGAUGGAUACUAGGUGUAGGAGGUAUCGACCCCUUCUGUGCCGCAGUUAACACAAUAAGUAUCCCACCUGGGGAGUACGACCGCAAGGUUGCAACUCAAAUGAAUUGACGG